GACGAACGCUGGCGGCGUGCCUAAUACAUGCAAGUUGAGCGCUGAAGGUUGGUACUUGUACCGACUGGAUGAGCAGCGAACGGGUGAGUAACGCGUGGGGAAUCUGCCUUUGAGCGGGGGACAACAUUUGGAAACGAAUGCUAAUACCGCAUAAAAACUUUAAACACAAGUUUUAAGUUUGAAAGAUGCAAUUGCAUCACUCAAAGAUGAUCUCGCGUUGUAUUAGCUAGUUGGUGAGGUAAAGGCUCACCAAGGCGAUGAUACAUAGCCGACCUGAGAGGGUGAUCGGCCACAUUGGGACUGGGACACGGCCCAAACUCCUACGGGAGGCAGCAGUAGGGAAUCUUCGGCAAUGGGCGAAAGUCUGACCGAACAACGCCGCGUGAGUGAAGAAGGUUUUCGGGUCGUAAAACUCUGUUGGUAGGGAAGAACGUUGGUGAGAGUGGAAAGCUCAUCAAGUGACGGUAACUACCCAGAAAGGGACGGCUAACUACGUG
Molecule: ribosomal RNA, 497 nt
Filed under: uncultured bacterium
Lineage: Bacteria
Description: partial 16S ribosomal RNA
Rfam family: Bacterial small subunit ribosomal RNA
Source: RNAcentral